This 484-nucleotide ribosomal RNA is filed under the name uncultured bacterium. RNAcentral describes it as "partial 16S ribosomal RNA". It matches the Rfam family "Bacterial small subunit ribosomal RNA", at positions 30 to 507 of the family's 1533-position model. The record is from RNAcentral.
AUUGAACGCUGGCGGCAGGCCUAACACAUGCAAGUCGAGCGGAUGAAGGGAGCUUGCUCCUGGAUUCAGCGGCGGACGGGUGAGUAAUGCCUAGGAAUCUGCCUGGUAGUGGGGGAUAACGUCCGGAAACGGGCGCUAAUACCGCAUACGUCCUGAGGGAGAAAGGGGGGGAUCUUCGGACCUCACGCUAUCAGAUGAGCCUAGGUCGGAUUAGCUAGUUGGUGGGGUAAAGGCCUACCAAGGCGACGAUCCGUAACUGGUCUGAGAGGAUGAUCAGUCACACUGGAACUGAGACACGGUCCAGACUCCUACGGGAGGCAGCAGUGGGGAAUAUUGGACAAUGGGCGAAAGCCUGAUCCAGCCAUGCCGCGUGUGUGAAGAAGGUCUUCGGAUUGUAAAGCACUUUAAGUUGGGAGGAAGGGCAGUAAGUUAAUACCUUGCUGUUUUGACGUUACCAAAAGAAUAAGCACCGGCUAACUUCGUG